UACGGAGGACCCAAGCGUUAUCCGGAUUUAUUGGGUUUAAAGGGUGCGUAGGCGGGAAAAUAAGUCAGAGGUGAAAGCCGGCAGCUUAACUGUCGAACUGCCUUUGAUACUGUUUUUCUUGAAUUUGGUUGAAGUGGGCGGAAUGUGACAUGUAGCGGUGAAAUGCGUAGAUAUGUCCCAGAACACCGAUUGCGAAGGCAGCUCACUAAGCCAACAUUGACGCUGAGGCACGAAAGCGUGGGGAGCAAACAGG
Molecule: ribosomal RNA, 253 nt
Filed under: uncultured bacterium
Lineage: Bacteria
Description: partial 16S ribosomal RNA
Rfam family: Bacterial small subunit ribosomal RNA
Source: RNAcentral